UGUACAACUGCGAGUACAAGUUUGGUCAAAGUGCGUUAUGUUUUGUCAGUUUGGUUAAUUUGCAAUUUUCUAGCAUCCAAAAUAAUUUUCAGUCAGGUAGCCUACUUGUGAUGACAUUUUUUUACAAACGUCAUUUGUAAAGCACUUUUUUCACGAAGAGGAAAGUUCGAAGGACAUCUGCUUUACAUCGCCAUUCGCCAUCCGAAGUCCUUCAACUGCACUGACCUGCAUCUGCAUCUGUACCUACACGGUGUGUGCCACUGCAGCUGACGUUGAGACAACCCUGACUGUACCCGCAAGUCCUCGCCUGAUUCUACUUGGUGGAACUGGGCAAGUCACUUUUGGGCGCUGGAUGAUCACGCUUGAGGGUCGUGUCAUAUCUGAAGGCAUCACAUCAACCUUUUUGAUGGGACUUGCUGCUGUAUUUGCAAUAUACUAUAUGCUUAACCUCCAAUAUCAAGAAGAAGCAGCCUGUACUCUGGAAUUCAUUUAGAGGUGCUUCAUUGGCAUCAAUCCCGAAAAAGGCACAAAGGCCACCCGGGGAAAGGUUGUCCCGAAAAAAUUCUCCACAGUGAAUGCACAUGUCUCCACACUAUUGAAGAACCUAAUCGACUUUCAGUGGGACUUCAUAUAGGGGUACCAGUUGGAAUACCUCAGGAGACAACAUGCAGCCAGGUCGUCAUGGUUAAGUGGGUGUAAAAUGACAAAGUCAUUCACCUAGGACUAGAACUCUUUCAAAAGGUACACGAGCCUCCUCACUGGAAUGUUUAAAAAAGUGCUGAAAAAACCCUGAACAAAUGUUUUUUUUCACUAAAAUGUUUCACAAAAUUUGUUGCAUGUUAGUGCAGAUCCAAAAAUGUUCAAAACAUGUUAAAUGUUUAAUGUGUUUGACCUCAGGUUGUCAUGUUUGGAACUUAUUUUAUGUUUGUGUCUGUUAUUUAUUUUUUAUUGCCAUUUGUUUUUAUUUAUACGUUUUUUUUUUUUUUUUGUUAGCCAAAAUCUGUUUUCUUCUGUUUUUUUUACCUUUUUUAGUUUUGAAUCCUUGUUAAA
Molecule: long non-coding RNA, 1050 nt
Organism: Onychostoma macrolepis
Lineage: Eukaryota; Metazoa; Chordata; Actinopteri; Cypriniformes; Cyprinidae
Exons: 5
Source: RefSeq, a predicted model, not a curated record